CUUGGUCAUUUAGAGGAAGUAAAAGUCGUAACAAGGUUUCCGUAGGUGAACCUGCGGAAGGAUCAUUAUCGAAUUUAUAGGUGAGGGUUGUAGCUGGCCUUUCGGGGCACGUGCACGCCCGAGCCCUUAACGUCCCAACACACCUGUGAACCCACCGUAGGCCUUCGGGCUUAUGUAUACCUUCAUAAACUCUGAAUGUGACAUAGAAUGUAAACUUACAGUUUCGUCGCCCUAAAACGGCGGCGGAAAUAAUAUACAACUUUCAACAACGGAUCUCUUGGCUCUCGCAUCGAUGAAGAACGCAGCGAAAUGCGAUAAGUAAUGUGAAUUGCAGAUUUUCAGUGAAUCAUCGAAUCUUUGAACGCACCUUGCGCUCCUUGGUAUUCCGAGGAGCAUGCCUGUUUGAGUGUCAUGUAGACUCAAUCCCUCGGGUUUCCGAGGAGAUUGGACUUGGGUGUUGCCGCUCUGCCGGCUCGCCUUAAAAGACUUAGCGGGAUAGCACCGUAGUCGGCGUAAUAAGUUUCGUCGGUGAAGGUUGUGAUGACUGCUUACAAUCGCCCUCGGGCAAUUUUUGACUCUGACCUCAAAUCAGGUAGGACUACCCGCUGAACUUAAGCAUAUCAAUAAGCGGAGGAA
Molecule: ribosomal RNA, 636 nt
Filed under: uncultured fungus
Lineage: Eukaryota; Fungi
Description: eukaryotic LSU rRNA
Rfam family: 5.8S ribosomal RNA (bases 258-412)
Source: RNAcentral